RNA transcript from Parus major (Great Tit), 5595 nucleotides. It is a transcript of the gene named phosphatidylinositol 3-kinase catalytic subunit type 3, with no coding region annotated. The transcript is spliced from 26 exons. The record is from RefSeq and is a predicted model, not a curated record. NCBI's taxonomy places the organism in Eukaryota, Metazoa, Chordata, Aves, Passeriformes, Paridae.
GGAGCGCGGCCGGGGAGGCCGGCACUGCUGCCCACGGGCGUUGAAGGGGCGGGCAGGGAGCAGCGUCGGCAGCCAUGGGCGAGACCGAGAGGCUUUAUUAUGUGUACAGCUGCGACCUGGACAUCAACGUGCAGCUGAAGAUAGGAAGUCUGGAAGGGAAAAGAGAACAGAAAAGCUACAAAGCUCUCCUAGAGGAUCCGAUGCUGAAGUUCUCGGGACUCUACCAAGAGACUUGCUCUGACUUGUAUGUAACUUGUCAGGUGUUCGCAGAGGGGAAGCCUCUUGCUCUUCCAGUUAGAACUUCCUACAAGGCUUUUAGCACUAGAUGGAACUGGAAUGAGUGGCUGAAACUGCCUGUGAAGUAUCCAGACCUGCCUCGAAAUGCUCAGGUGGCUCUGACCAUCUGGGAUGUGUAUGGACCUGGUAAAGCUGUUCCUGUGGGAGGAACAACGGUCUCGCUCUUUGGAAAAUAUGGUAUGUUUCGACAAGGAAUGCAUGACUUGAAAGUUUGGCCCAAUGUAGAAGCUGAUGGCUCCGAGCCCACCAAAACUCCUGGGAGAACCAGCAGUACAGUCUCUGAAGAUCAAAUGAGCCGCUUGGCAAAGCUCACCAAAUCUCAUCGGCAAGGUCACAUGGUGAAAGUGGAUUGGCUGGACAGACUCACCUUUAGAGAAAUAGAAAUGAUCAAUGAGAGGGAAAAACGAAGCUCCAAUUUUAUGUACCUGAUGAUUGAAUUCCGUUGCGUCAAGUGUGAUGAUAAAGAAUAUGGAAUAGUUUACUACGAAAAGGAUGGUGAUGAGUCAUCUCCAAUUUUAACAAGUCCUGAAAUUGUUAAGAUUCCAGAUCCCCAGAUGUCUAUGACAGUGCCUAAAUACAGUUCUAGAAAAGAUUUCCAUUAUUGUGGAUGCCAAUUCAGUGGGACUGGUAUUGGCAGCUUUGGGAACCUUAAUGAGAACUUAGUAGAAAGCAAGCAUCACAAACUUGCUCGAAGUUUAAGAAGUGGACCAUCUGAUCAUGACCUGAAGCCUAAUGCAACUACACGAGACCAGCUUAAUAUCAUAGUGAGUUAUCCACCAACAAAGCAACUAACAUAUGAGGAACAGGAUUUGGUGUGGAAAUUCAGAUAUUACCUUACUCAUCAGGAGAAGGCCUUGACAAAGUUCCUGAAGUGUGUCAACUGGGAUCUACCACAAGAGGCAAAGCAAGCACUGGAGCUUCUGGGCAAAUGGAAGCCCAUGGAUGUGGAAGACUCUCUGGAGCUUCUGUCAUCUCACUUCACCAACCCUACAGUGCGGCGCUAUGCUGUCGCCAGGCUUCAGCAGGCUGAUGAUGAGGAUUUGCUGAUGUACCUGCUACAGUUAGUCCAAGCACUGAAAUAUGAAAACUUUGAUGACAUAAAGAAUGGCCUGGAGCCUAGCAAGAGGGACAGUCAAGGUUCCAUGUCAGAAACUAUGACAACAUCUGGUUCUAAUGCUCCAGAAAUAGACAGUUCCCAGAUUAUGAGUCCUAUUCCACCUGUUUCCUCUCCACCUCUUACUUCUAAGACAAAAGAGCUUGCAGAAAAUGAAAACCUUGAUCAAGAUCUUUGCACUUUCUUGAUAUCACGGGCAUGCAAAAAUUCCACGUUGGCGAACUACUUAUACUGGUAUGUAAUAGUGGAGUGUGAAGACCAAGAUACUCAGCAGAGAGACCCAAAGACUCAUGAAAUGUACUUAAAUGUGAUGAGAAGAUUCAGUCAGGCUUUGCUGAAGGGUGAUAAGUCUGUCAGAGUUAUGCGCUCGCUUUUGGCAGCCCAGCAGACGUUUGUAGAUCGGUUGGUUCAUGUAAUGAAGGCAGUGCAGCGUGAAAGUGGGAAUCGUAAGAAAAAGAAUGAGAGGCUUCAGGCAUUGUUAGCUGAUAAUGAAAAGAUGAAUUUAGCAGAUAUGGAACUUAUUCCACUUCCUCUGGAACCUCAGGUGAAAAUUAAAGGAAUAAUCCCUGAAAAAGCCACACUCUUCAAGAGUGCCUUAAUGCCUGCCCAGUUAUUCUUCAAGACAGAAGAUGGAGGCAAAUAUCCUGUCAUUUUUAAGCAUGGCGAUGAUUUACGUCAAGAUCAACUUAUUCUUCAGAUUAUUUCACUCAUGGAUAAGCUUUUAAGAAAAGAGAAUCUGGAUUUGAAGCUGACACCGUAUAAAGUGCUAGCAACUAGUACAAAACAUGGCUUCAUGCAGUUUAUUCCAUCAGUACCAGUUGCAGAAGUUCUUGCUACUGAGGAAACUAUACAGAACUUCUUCAGAAAACAUGCCCCUAGUGAAACUGGCCCUCAUGGAAUCAGCGCAGAGGUGAUGGACACAUAUGUUAAGAGCUGUGCUGGUUAUUGUGUGAUUACUUACAUCCUUGGAGUUGGAGAUAGACAUCUGGAUAAUCUGUUGCUAACAAAAACAGGUAAACUGUUUCACAUUGACUUUGGUUAUAUUUUGGGCCGAGACCCCAAGCCCCUUCCUCCCCCGAUGAAGCUGAACAAGGAGAUGGUGGAAGGCAUGGGAGGCACCCAGAGUGAGCAGUACCAGGAGUUCCGUAAACAGUGCUACACAGCCUUUCUCCACCUACGCAGGUAUUCCAACUUGAUCUUGAAUUUAUUCUCACUCAUGGUGGAUGCAAACAUUCCAGAUAUUGCUCUUGAACCUGACAAGACUGUAAAAAAGAAAUUAAAUCAGUGCUGAUCUUAACCUGUGCAUUCUCACAGCUAAAAUUGGACUGAAAAUAAGUGAAAAUAAGCAUUGACUUGAAAACAAACAAAGCCUUGUUUGAAGUUGCAAACUGUUCUUGAAGAGUGUAUGGAAAAUGGGUUUCUGAACCAGCUGUCUGCUUGCAGUGGGUAUACAGUGGAUAUACAGAAUAUCACUCAUUUUGAUCACUACGUUCCCUGUAGGAAAACCCGGAAAACAGGAUUACCAACUGCACAAAAUUGUCUCCAUCCUCAAACCUGGAGAAACCCUUUUCAGGUUCUUGAUGUUUAGUUUUAUAAUAAAAACCUUGUCAGUUUUUGACAAGAAAAAGUAACUGCAAAGCUUAAAGUUAGUAGUCUUUUUGAUCCUUUAAUCUCCUUUUGUCCUCUCAGUAUUUAUAAAGAGAGCUGUCAGUAUAGUGUACUUCACCUCACGGUUCAUGACACCAUCUCCUACUGCCACUCUCUGAUUUAGGCUUUUCUGAAAACCUGGCUCAAAAAUGUCACAAAAUGGAAUUAAAUUGAAAGGUAGAAGAGGAUUCUCCUCAGUUUGUGUCUUCCUUUCUCUGGCCCCUGAGAUAAUUGUCUCUAAAUUUUCCACUUUUUACAUAUGCUUUUCCAUUUGUCAGAUUUCAGGAAAAAGGCUGGGCUGAAAUCGUUACAUUGAUUUGUCAAUGCUUAACUGAUAAUACAAUGAAGGUAUCACUGCACUCACUUUUUUCCUGCCACUGCUCCUUGCUUUUCCAUUUCCAGCACAGCUGCAGUGCUAAUUGCUAAUUGUUGGGCUUUGUAAAAUUAGCCAGUGCUAUAAAUUGUAAGUAGUAAUGACUAAAAUCUGGAGUCAAUUAUGUAGUCAGUUUUGCGUAAGGAAGAGGUGCACCAUCACUCUUCAGAUGUAGCUAAUGGAUUCAGCAUUGUCACCUCCUAACAGAAAAAGCUUUUUAUUUUUCUACAGGAAAGCCAGAUGGUUUCUAUCUGUCCUUCAUAGCAGAUUUGACCUUUAAAUGAGAAAUCAUCAGGGACCGGUGAUUCAUUGGCAGACAAAGGACUCAGCAGGCAUUAGAGGACAGUGUCCUAAUUGACUGAGCUCUGUUUCAGAUGUCCAUUGAUUAAAGAAGGUGCUGCAAAGAUGCUUCAUUAUAGGCGAGGUUAUUGUGAGCACAGACAGCACAAAUACUUGGCUCCCAUAAGCAAGAGCUUAACUGCUGCUUGUGAAAGUAGCCUCACACAUUUUGGUAUCACCUUUGGAUAGACACAAAAAAGGAUAAAAUCAAACUGUCCAGAAGAGAGGACAGUCAUCUGUCUGUGGGCUGUAAUACUGAGAGCACCCUCUGCAUUUCCAAGGCUGUGUGAACACUGAUGGGGGUUCACCCCCUUUCACAAGAAGAUGGUCAGUCUAAUUGUUUGGAAACUAACAAAAAGACAGAGCAGACAUGGUUGUUGUCUUUUUUUUUUUUUUUUUAACAUAAUAUAUGUCAAAGUAAAAUUAUUUUUAUUCUACAGGUAUAAAAGCUGAAGCAGAGAUGUGACUAGAGGUACAGAAAGCUUCUGAGCUAACUUGUUUCCAAACCUGACCUAAUUUUUCCAAGUUUUUUCAUCUGGCUUGUAGUGAAACUCACACUGCUUUCCCCCCACUUGUCCUUCCCAGUCAGCCAAAGGAUAAUUGAGAGUUGAGUUCCCAAGUUAGUGAAAUGGAAAGGACUUUCUAAGUUGGAGCUUGAUAAGCCUUUUUAGGCAGUGGAUAUAUGUCCCAUUUCACCUGAUCAAAAGUAACAGUCAGUAUUUGUUAAAAGAUGGUGCUAGGGAAUCUUCCUAGCAUUUAUUAAUGCCGGUAAGAAAUUUACUGGAGUAAUAAAAUAACUUUUUCUUGAUUAGAGUCUGUUUCAGUACUAUUUUUUUUUGCUGCUCCAGGGAGGUUUAUGCUUUGUAAAAGUGUCACAUUGCCAUGGAGCUUAUUUUGCUUUGGCAGACGUUCAUUUCUCUGUCCAUUUGGGUAAUGACAGUGCAGCUGCACACCCAGCUUUUUUGUUUCUAGGCUGUUGAUUUUUUCAUGCAUAUUAAUUCAUUUCAAAAUACUGAAAAAAAUACAGAAGUUGCAGUAAACAUCAAAACAUGAACCAAGUGUGGGAACACUCAUGUGCUCCUUCUGCUUUUUAUCACAGUCUCUAGUUCAUUUUAUGUUUUUCACCAGUAUGAUAAAAUUGUGAGCUGGAACAGUGUCAUCUUUGAGCACUGUAGUGGCUGAAACCCCAGUUCUCACAAAAGUUCAAUUUAGAGAUGUUUGCUAGCAUCUUUGCUGUCUUCUGUUAAAAAAAAUAUAUAUAUAUUAAAAAAAAAAAAAAAUAGGGAAGCCCCCUAACUGGGCUUCUUUAGAAACCACAUUUUGUUCAAAUUGAACACUUGGAAACAAAAACUGUUGUUAGAAUAGUCUCUCAAAUUAAGUUGUUCAUGCAAAUAAAUCAUCUGAAUAGUUUGUGGUGUGAGUUUGGACUGCAAACAACACGGAUAGCAGAAAAAUAUUUACUGAAAAAGAUGAAAUGUGAUAAGGAUUAAGCCAAGUACUUAAUGCCAGUUUCUGCCACAUGAGUAUUAAAUGCUGACUACUGUAAUAAUUACAUGGCAAAACAGUAAAAAUAAUCACCAAAAAAUACUGGUUUUUUACUGUUUUUUUGUUUGCUUGGUUGUUUUUUUUUUGCUGUUAAUUGAUCUUUGUCUCGUUUUAGUAGUGCUUACAUCCAGUCUAUAUUCUGACCCACUGGGAAAGGACAAUGAAGUUUCUCUUUAAAGCAGCUGAAGUUUCAAUGAGCAAUCCCAUUGUGUGAUAAAAUUGUAUAAAACAUAAGCAGUGUUGCUUAAUGUUGGUGGAAGAAUAAAUACUAAAGCACUCA